This 659-nucleotide ribosomal RNA is filed under the name uncultured beta proteobacterium. Its description in RNAcentral is "bacterial SSU rRNA". It matches the Rfam family "Bacterial small subunit ribosomal RNA", at positions 63 to 718 of the family's 1533-position model. The record is from RNAcentral. Lineage: Bacteria; Pseudomonadati; Pseudomonadota; Betaproteobacteria.
CGAACGGCAGCACGGACUUCGGUCUGGUGGCGAGUGGCGAACGGGUGAGUAAUAUAUCGGAACAUACCCAGUAGUGGGGGAUAACUAUCCGAAAGGAUAGCUAAUACCGCAUACGAUCUGUGGAUGAAAGCAGGGGAUCUUCGGACCUUGUGCUAUUGGAAUGGCCGAUAUCUGACUAGCUAGUUGGUAGGGUAAAAGCCUACCAAGGCGACGAUCAGUAGCUGGUCUGAGAGGACGACCAGCCACACUGGAACUGAGACACGGUCCAGACUCCUACGGGAGGCAGCAGUGGGGAAUUUUGGACAAUGGGGGCAACCCUGAUCCAGCAAUGCCGCGUGAGUGAAGAAGGCCCUCGGGUUGUAAAGCUCUUUUGUCAGGGAAGAAACGGAGUUCUCUAAUAUAGGAUUCUAAUGACGGUACCUGAAGAAUAAGCACCGGCUAACUACGUGCCAGCAGCCGCGGUAAUACGUAGGGUGCAAGCGUUAAUCGGAAUUACUGGGCGUAAAGCGUGCGCAGGCGGUUUUGUAAGUCUGAUGUGAAAUCCCCGGGCUCAACCUGGGAACUGCAUUGGAGACUGCAAGGCUAGAGUGUGUCAGAGGGGGGUAGAAUUCCACGUGUAGCAGUGAAAUGCGUAGAGAUGUGGAGGAUACCGAUGGCGA